This 540-nucleotide ribosomal RNA is filed under the name Candidatus Paracaedibacter sp. RNAcentral's name for it is "bacterial SSU rRNA". It matches the Rfam family "Bacterial small subunit ribosomal RNA", at positions 68 to 643 of the family's 1533-position model. Lineage: Bacteria; Pseudomonadati; Pseudomonadota; Alphaproteobacteria; Holosporales; Candidatus Paracaedibacteraceae. The record is from RNAcentral.
GGCUUAUUGACUUCGGUUAAUAAGUUAGUGGCAGACGGGUGAGUAACGCGUGGGAAUGUACCGAUUGGUUCGGAAUAACUACGGGAAACUGUAGCUAAUACUGAAUAAGCCCUGAGGGGGAAAGAUUUAUCGCCAAUUGAGCAGCCCGCGUUAGAUUAGGUAGUUGGUGGGGUAAUGGCCUACCAAGCCUGCGAUCUAUAGCUGGUCUGAGAGGAUGAUCAGCCACACUGGGACUGAGACACGGCCCAGACUCCUACGGGAGGCAGCAGUGGGGAAUAUUGGACAAUGGGGGAAACCCUGAUCCAGCAAUGCCGCGUGAGUGAUGAAGGCCUUCGGGUUGUAAAGCUCUUUUGUCAGGGAAGAUGAUGACGGUACCUGACGAAUAAGCUCCGGCUAACUUCGUGCCAGCAGCCGCGGUAAUACGAAGGGAGCUAGCGUUGUUCGGAAUUACUGGGCGUAAAGGGCGCGUAGGCGGCCUUGUAAGUUAGAUGUGAAAGCCCCGGGCUUAACCUGGGAACUGCAUUUAAGACUGCAAAGCUU